Molecule: ribosomal RNA, 227 nt
Filed under: uncultured prokaryote
Description: partial 16S ribosomal RNA
Rfam family: Bacterial small subunit ribosomal RNA
Source: RNAcentral
AACGGAGGGGGCAAGUGUUACUCGUCAUAACUGGGCGUAAAGGGUGCGUAGACGGUUUUUUAAGUUUGAAGUAAAAGAAUAGUGAAAGACAUUAUAAAUGCUUUGAAUACUGAAAAUCUAGAGUUCGAGAGAGGAAAGUGGUAUUCUUACUGUAGAGGUGAAAUUCAGAGAUAGUAGGAGGACGAUCGAAGGCGAAGGCAACUUUCUGGUUCGUAACUGACGUUGAG